This 494-nucleotide long non-coding RNA is filed under the name Eucalyptus grandis. RNAcentral describes it as "long non-coding RNA (EGRA_LNC006799)". The record is from RNAcentral. Lineage: Eukaryota; Viridiplantae; Streptophyta; Magnoliopsida; Myrtales; Myrtaceae.
GAGCUGGACAGCAGCUCUGGAACAGCGAGCUGGGCGAGAGAGCGACCAAGGCGCGUGGAGACAAUCGGCGAGCGGCGGAGCACGCGGGUGGGGCGAGUAGCGACGGCAGCUCCGGUUUUCUUCUCUCGGCGCUGCUGUUCUGCUUCUGUUUCUGUUCGAACCAGAGAGAGGAGAGGGGCGGACGCGCGUGGACGGCAGUUCGGCGGUGAGCUUGGGUGCGCGCGAGCAGCUUCGGUGGCUUGCGGGCGUGCGACGACGGCGGCGAGAGGUAGUGAUGGCAGCUCAGUCUUCGGCUUCCAUGGAGUCGAGCAACCGAAGAGGAAGAUGGGGGGUUUGGUCGACGGAGGAGAGAGAUGAGGAAGAGAAAAUCAAUUUCUCCUUUUCCUCUCACACUCUCUCUCUCUCUCUCUUAGGUCAGCCACACGUGGGCCACCACCAGCUGUCUUCCACCCUUCAAUUUUUGACAAAUAUGCCCCCUUCUAGAAGCAUUUAGG